UGAAUGUCCUAGGGGGUAUUGCACUUACCGAAGACUAUCAAACUCCGAAUGCCGUUUUCUUUUACUUGGGAGUCAGACUGUGGGUGAUAAGAUUCAUAGUCAAAAGGGCAACAGCCCAGAUCGUCAGCUAAGGUCCCUAAAUGUACGUUAAGUGGUAAAGGAUGUGGGAUUGCACAGACAACCAGGAUGUUGGCUUAGAAGCAGCCACUCAUUUAAAGAGUGCGUAAUAGCUCACUGGUCGAGUGAUCCUGCGCCGAAAAUUUCCGGGGCUAAAACGUACUACCGAAGCUACGGCAUCAUUUAUGAUGGGUAGGGGAGCUUCGUAUGCAGGCUGAAGCAUGACCGUAAGGACAUGUGGACAGUAUACGAGUGAGAAUGUUGGCAUGAGUAGCGAGACGUGGGUGAGAAUCCCACGGGCCGUAAACCCAAGGUUUCCAGGGGAAGGUUCGUCCGCCCUGGGUUAGUCGGGACCUAAGCCGAGGCCGAAAGGCGUAGGUGAUGGACAACAGGUUGAUAUUCCUGUACCGCCAAUAAGCGUUUGAGAGAUGGAGUGACACAGUAGGAUAAGCUAACCGUACUGUUGGUUAUGUACGGCUAAGCAUUGAGGCAGUCUAAAUAGGCAAAUCCGUUUAGACAAUGCUAGGAUGUGAUGGGGAAGCCCUUCGGGGCGAAGUAGCUGAUUUCACACUGUCAAGAAAAGCUUCUAUCGAGUUUAAAGGCGCCCGUACCGUAAACCGACACAGGUGGGUGAGGAGAGUAUCCUAAGGCCAGCGAGAGAACUAUUGUUAAGGAACUCGGCAAAAUGACCCCGUAACUUAGGGAGAAGGGGUGCCUGUCUAUGACAGGCCGCAGAGAAUAGGCCCAAGCGACUGUUUACCAAAAACACAGGUUUCUGCUAAGUCGCAAGACGAUGUAUAGGAGCUGACGCCUGCCCGGUGCUGGAAGGUUAAGGGGAUCUGUUAGAGCAAUCGAAGCAGUGAACUUAAGCCCCAGUAAACGGCGGCCGUAACUAUAACGGUCCUAAGGUAGCGAAAUUCCUUGUCGGGUAAGUUCCGACCCGCACGAAAGGCGUAACGAUUUGGGCACUGUCUCAACAAUAGACUCGGUGAAAUUGUAAUCCCGGUGAAGAUGCCGGGUACCUGCGACAGGACGGAAAGACCCCAUGGAGCUUUACUGUAGCUUGACGUUGGGUCUUGGUACUACAUGUACAGGAUAGGUGGGAGACUAUGAAGCAUGGACGCCAGUCUGUGUGGAGUCAUCCUUGGGAUACCACCCUUGUAGUACUGGGAUCCUAACCAUAGGCCUUGAAUCAGGUCUUGGAACACCGUCAGGUGGGCAGUUUGACUGGGGCGGUCGCCUCCUAAAAAGUAACGGAGGCGCUCAAAGGUUUCCUCAGCACGGUCGGAAAUCGUGCGAAGAGUGUAAAGGCAAAAGGAAGCUUGAUUGCAAGACAUACAGGUCGAGCAAGGACGAAAGUCGGACUUAGUGAUCCGGUGGUACCGCAUGGAAGGGCCAUCGCUCAACGGAUAAAAGCUACCCUGGGGAUAACAGGCUUAUCUCCCCCAAGAGUCCACAUCGACGGGGAGGUUUGGCACCUCGAUGUCGGCUCAUCACAUCCUGGGGCUGUAGUAGGUCCCAAGGGUUGGGCUGUUCGCCCAUUAAAGUGGUACGCGAGCUGGGUUCAGAACGUCGUGAGACAGUUCGGUCCCUAUCCGUCGCAGGCGUAGGAAAUUUGAGAAGACCUGUCCUUAGUACGAGAGGACCGGGAUGGACGUACCUCUGGUGUACCAGUUGUUCUGCCAAGGGCAUGGCUGGGUAGCUAUGUACGGAAUGGAUAAGCGCUGAAAGCAUCUAAGCGCGAAGCCAACUUCAAGAUAAGAUUUCCCACCGUAAGGGUAAGACCCCAGGAAGACUACCUGGUUGAUAGGUCGAAGGUGUAAGUGCAGUAAUGUAUUUAGCUUAUCGAUACUAAUAGGUCGAGGACUUGACCAA
RNAcentral lists this ribosomal RNA (1992 nucleotides) under human gut metagenome. Its description in RNAcentral is "bacterial LSU rRNA". It matches the Rfam family "Bacterial large subunit ribosomal RNA", at positions 911 to 2925 of the family's 2925-position model. The record is from RNAcentral.